UGGGGAAUAUUGCACAAUGGGCGCAAGCCUGAUGCAGCCAUGCCGCGUGUAUGAAGAAGGCCUUCGGGUUGUAAAGUACUUUCAGCGGGGAGGAAGGCGAUAAGGUUAAUAACCUUGUCGAUUGACGUUACCCGCAGAAGAAGCACCGGCUAACUCCGUGCCAGCAGCCGCGGUAAUACGGAGGGGGCAAGCGUUAAUCGGAAUUACUGGGCGUAAAGCGCACGCAGGCGGUCUGUCAAGUCGGAUGUGAAAUCCCCGGGCUCAACCGGGGAACUGCAUUCGAAACUGGCAGGCUAGAGUCUUGUAGAGGGGGGUAGAAUUCCAGGUGUAGCGGUGAAAUGCGUAGAGAUCUGGAGGAAUACCGGUGGCGAAGGCGGCCCCCUGGACAAAGACUGACGCUCAGGUGCGAAAGCGUGGGGAGCAAACA
This 427-nucleotide ribosomal RNA is filed under the name uncultured bacterium. Its description in RNAcentral is "partial 16S ribosomal RNA". It matches the Rfam family "Bacterial small subunit ribosomal RNA", at positions 355 to 774 of the family's 1533-position model. The record is from RNAcentral.